This 253-nucleotide ribosomal RNA is filed under the name uncultured bacterium. Its description in RNAcentral is "partial 16S ribosomal RNA". It matches the Rfam family "Bacterial small subunit ribosomal RNA", at positions 524 to 776 of the family's 1533-position model. The record is from RNAcentral.
UACGUAGGGUGCAAGCGUUAAUCGGAAUUACUGGGCGUAAAGCGUGCGUAGGCGGUUGCGCAAGACAGGUGUGAAAUCCCCGGGCUUAACCUGGGAAUUGCACUUGUGACUGUGCGGCUGGAGUGCGGCAGAGGGGGAUGGAAUUCCGCGUGUAGCAGUGAAAUGCGUAGAUAUGCGGAGGAACACCGAUGGCGAAGGCAAUCCCCUGGGCCUGCACUGACGCUCAUGCACGAAAGCGUGGGGAGCAAACAGG